AGCUUUAACCUUAAUGAUCUUUUGGUUGGAUCUACUUUAUGGAGUUUCUUUGGAAUUUUUGAGUCUGUUGAUGUAAAGGUGAGCUUUUGAUCUACUCCAGAAGUAGUGGAUGUUAGAUCUAUGCUCUAAUAAGGUUCCUUGUUCAUAAAAAUGGAAACCUUAUGAAUGAUUUUGGUCCAUGCAUGUAUUAAGCUCUUAUUAAGUUCCUAUUUAAGUGUUGAUUCCCGUUAAGAUGUGUUUAUGAGUAAAGUUGGAAACUUUAUUGUUUAAGACCUUGCCUAGAGACCAUAUCUAUGUUUUGGACAUUUGGACUUAACCCAUUAAGAGCUAAUCAGGGUUUUGGACUUCUGGCUAGUACGCUGGGCGUACGAGGAGGUACACUCAACAUAAUGUGAGGAUUGUGCAUCAAAAAAAUUGUACGUUGUGCAUCAUGGUCGAGUAUGCAGGGUGUACAUCUUGAGUACGCCGGGUGAACUCCCUAGUGGGUCGUUUUGGGCCUUUAAGGUUUGGGCCAUUGUUGGGUAUUCUUAGUUUGGGCCGUGUUGGGCCAUUAGACUUCUUUUUUGGGCUUUUGGUUGUUACCUUUUGGACUCCUUUGGAUUUUAGGCCUGUAAAGGAUUUUAAUGGCCUAAUUUGGAAAAUUGGGCCAUAGUUGGGCUUUGGGUGUUUAUGUUGGAAUUUGGGCCUUUGGACAAUUGGGCUUGGGUCUUGGGCCAAGUUAUGGAAAGGGUAAAAAGGUCUUUUACCCUAGCUUGGAUUCUCAGUGUAGGGCAGUAUCCGAUUAUUAAUUGGAUGAUUAUUUUGUGAUUGGCAGCGCGGGGAUUUUGUUAGCUAGCCAGCAACCAGGGAUUCUUUCUACGAGAAUCGGCAGUGCCACUGUAUUUACUGUGUCGAAGGUAUUUCUGUUUUCAUAUGGAAGAGCUUGGGAUGAUCGCAGAGCAUACACCACAUGUUUCCACCUUCUGCGAUUUACUCUGAUGACGAUGAUGUAUUGAUAAGACUUUAAAUGCUUUGGUUUUGUGAAAAUGAUAUGAUUUACUAUUUUAGUAAUUUAAAAAUUAUAAUUUCUGGUCUUGUCA
Long non-coding RNA from Lactuca sativa (garden lettuce), 1079 nucleotides. RefSeq lists it as uncharacterized. NCBI's taxonomy places the organism in Eukaryota, Viridiplantae, Streptophyta, Magnoliopsida, Asterales, Asteraceae. The record is from RefSeq and is a predicted model, not a curated record.